GAUGAACGCUGGCGGCGUGCCUAAUACAUGCAAGUCGAACGAGGUCUUCGGACCGAGUGGCGAACGGGUGAGUAACACGUUGGUACCUACCCGAAGUGGGAAGUAACUGGCCGAAAGGUCGGCUAAUACCGCAUAAUACCGCAAGGUUAAAGCAGUAAUGCGCUUCGGGAGGGGCCUGCGUCCCAUUAGCUAGUUGGUGAGGUAAUUGCUCACCAAGGCAACGAUGGGUAGCUGGAUCGAGAGGUUGACCAGCCACACUGGGACUGAGAUACGGCCCAGACUCCUACGGGAGGCAGCAGUAAGGAAUCUUCCACAAUGGACGAAAGUCUGAUGGAGCAACGCCGCGUGCAGGAUGACGGCCUU
This 363-nucleotide ribosomal RNA is filed under the name uncultured bacterium. Its description in RNAcentral is "bacterial SSU rRNA". It matches the Rfam family "Bacterial small subunit ribosomal RNA", at positions 28 to 418 of the family's 1533-position model. The record is from RNAcentral.